This 779-nucleotide ribosomal RNA is filed under the name uncultured bacterium. Its description in RNAcentral is "bacterial SSU rRNA". It matches the Rfam family "Bacterial small subunit ribosomal RNA", at positions 8 to 775 of the family's 1533-position model. The record is from RNAcentral.
AGAGUUUGAUCCUGGCUCAGAGUGAACGCUGGCGGUAGGCCUAACACAUGCAAGUCGAACGGCAGCACAGUAAGAGCUUGCUCUUACGGGUGGCGAGUGGCGGACGGGUGAGGAAUACAUCGGAAUCUACUUUUUCGUGGGGGAUAACGUAGGGAAACUUACGCUAAUACCGCAUACGACCUACGGGUGAAAGCAGGGGAUCUUCGGACCUUGCGCGAUUGAAUGAGCCGAUGUCGGAUUAGCUAGUUGGCGGGGUAAAGGCCCACCAAGGCGACGAUCCGUAGCUGGUCUGAGAGGAUGAUCAGCCACACUGGAACUGAGACACGGUCCAGACUCCUACGGGAGGCAGCAGUGGGGAAUAUUGGACAAUGGGCGCAAGCCUGAUCCAGCCAUACCGCGUGGGUGAAGAAGGCCUUCGGGUUGUAAAGCCCUUUUGUUGGGAAAGAAAUCCAGCUGGUUAAUACCCGGUUGGGAUGACGGUACCCAAAGAAUAAGCACCGGCUAACUUCGUGCCAGCAGCCGCGGUAAUACGAAGGGUGCAAGCGUUACUCGGAAUUACUGGGCGUAAAGCGUGCGUAGGAGGUUGUUUAAGUCUGUUGUGAAAGCCCUGGGCUCAACCUGGGAACUGCAGUGGAAACUGGACGACUAGAGUGUGGUAGAGGGUAGCGGAAUUCCUGGUGUAGCAGUGAAAUGCGUAGAGAUCAGAGGAACAUCCAUGGCGAAGGCAGCUACCUGGACCAACACUGACACUGAGGCACGAAAGCGUGGGGAGCAAACAG